GGAAGAAUAAGUAGGGGACAAUACCCCCUAUGAUGACGGUACCGUUUGUAAGCUCCGGCUAACUCCGUGCCAGCAGCCGCGGUAAUACGGGGGGAGCAAGCGUUGUUCGGAUUUACUGGGCGUAAAGGGCGCGUAGGCGGUCAGCACAUGUCAGUUGUGAAAUCUCCGAGCUUAACUCGGAAAGGUCAACUGAUACUGUGCGACUAGAGUGCAGAAGGGGCAACUGGAAUUCUUGGUGUAGCGGUGAAAUGCGUAGAUAUCAAGAGGAACACCUGCGGCGAAGGCGGGUUGCUGGGCUGACACUGACGCUGAGGCGCGAAAGCUAGGGGAGCGAACGGGAUUAGAUACCCCGGUAGUCCUAGCCUUAGACGAUGAAUGCUUGGUGUCUGGGGUUAUAAAGUCCCCGGGUGCCGUCGCUGACGCUUUAAGCAUUCCGCCUGGGGAGUACGGUCGCAAGACUGAAACUUAAAGGAAUUGACGG
This 481-nucleotide ribosomal RNA is filed under the name uncultured bacterium. RNAcentral's name for it is "bacterial SSU rRNA". It matches the Rfam family "Bacterial small subunit ribosomal RNA", at positions 443 to 916 of the family's 1533-position model. The record is from RNAcentral.